UAGGGAAUAUUAGAAAUGGACGAAAGUCUGAUCUAGCAACACCGCGUGUGCGAAGAAGGCCUUCGGGUCGUAAAGCACUUUUUGGAAGGAAUAGGAAGGAAUGUACUUCCAGAAUAAGUCUCGGCUAACUACGUGCCAGCAGCCGCGGUAACACGUAGGAGGCGAACGUUAUCCGGAUUUACUGGGCGUAAAGCGCGUGUAGGUGGUUCUGUAAGUAGGGCGUGAAAGCUCCUGGCUCAACUGGGAGAGGCCGUUCUAAACUACAGAACUAGAGGAUGGUAGAGGGAGGUGGAAUUCCGGGUGUAGCGGUGGAAUGCGCAGAUAUCCGGAGGAACACCAGUGGCGAAAGCGGCCUCCUGGACCAUUCCUGACACUCAGACGCGAAAGCUAGGGCAGCGAACG
This 402-nucleotide ribosomal RNA is filed under the name uncultured prokaryote. Its description in RNAcentral is "bacterial SSU rRNA". It matches the Rfam family "Bacterial small subunit ribosomal RNA", at positions 355 to 774 of the family's 1533-position model. The record is from RNAcentral.